Molecule: transfer RNA, 71 nt
Filed under: Tinodes chinchinus
Lineage: Eukaryota; Metazoa; Arthropoda; Insecta; Trichoptera; Psychomyiidae
Description: tRNA-Arg
Source: RNAcentral
UAAUAUGAAUACAAAUAAUUGUAAUUUAAUUUCGACUUAAAUAAUUGGAUUUAAAUAUAAUCCCAUAUUUU